Molecule: ribosomal RNA, 372 nt
Filed under: uncultured organism
Description: partial 16S ribosomal RNA
Rfam family: Bacterial small subunit ribosomal RNA
Source: RNAcentral
GUAGGGUGCAAGCGUUAAUCGGGAAUUACUGGGGCGUAAAGCGUGCGCAGGCGGUUAUGCAAGACAGAGGUGAAAUCCCCGGGGCUCAACCUGGGAACUGCCUUUGUGACUGCAUGGCUAGAGUACGGUAGAGGGGGAUGGAAUUCCGCGUGUAGCAGUGAAAUGCGUAGAUAUGCGGAGGAACACCGAUGGCGAAGGCAAUCCCCUGGACCUGUACUGACGCUCAUGCACGAAAGCGUGGGGAGCAAACAGGAUUAGAUACCCUGGUAGUCCACGCCCUAAACGAUGUCAACUGGUUGUUGGGAGGGUUUCUUCUCAGUAACGUAGCUAGCGCGUGAAGUUGACCGCCUGGGGAGUACGGCCGCAAGGUUG